AGAUAACACCUCGCACUUUUCUUCGAUCUCUCACUCUUUUUCUCUUCAUUUUUUCUUUGGGCUUCUCUCUGAUACAGUGUAACCGAAGAGUAUUGGAGAAAUCUAAAAAUCUUGGAGUUUGAUUUGUUGGAGUAAACAGGGGAAAGGGGAAGAGAGGUACUGAGGAGAUGAAGAACGAAGUUCUGCAGGUGGUGGGAGGAAACAAGAAUUGUCAAAAUCCAAAUGUGAAAACGGAGCAAGGGCCUGAAACUCAGACUCAACAUCCUUCUGCCUUUCAUGUCUCUGGGCCUCAAAAUGUUCCUUCCAUCAACUGGAGGGACCUCAUCAGCUCUAGUUGGAAGGAUGGGAAUUACAAAAGAAUCGUAAUGGCCUGCUUCGUACAAGCAGUUUACUUGCUUGAACUUGACAGACAAGAAAACAGAACCAACCAAACUGCUCUUGCUCCUCAGUGGUGGAUACCCUUUAAGUACAAAUUGGUGGAGACCCUGAUAGACGAAAGAGAUGGAUCAAUAUUUGGGGCGAUAUUCGAAUGGGACCGUGCUGCAGCUUUGAUAGACUUUGUGCCCGUCAGACCUAGUGGUGCACCAAAGGCUGUUUUGGCUUUCAGGGGGACAUUGCUUAAAACUCCAACAAUAAGACGGGAUAUUGAGGAUGAUCUCCGGUUCCUAGCCUGGGAAAGCUUGAAGGGAUCAGUCAGAUUUAGCUCAGGUCUGAAGGCACUGAGAUCAAUUUCUGACAAGUAUGGAAGCAGCAAAAUUUGCAUUGCCGGCCAUUCAUUGGGAGCCAGCUUUGCUCACCAAGUCGGGAGAGCAUUAGCCGAAGAUGGAACAUACGUGGAAGCACAUUUAUUCAAUCCACCAUCAGUUUCACUAUCUUCCGGUCUUAAAAACAUGGGGGAGAAAGUCGGCGAUAUAUGGAAGAGGUUUAGGAGCAGGCUUCCUUCAACUGCUGAGACGACUCCGGGAUUGAAACAGUGGGUACCUCAUCUAUACAUAAACAAUAGCGACUAUAUUUGUUGCUAUUAUACAGAUGCAAACCAAGCAGAAGAGCUCAAAGUUGAGAAAGCGAACGCAAAAUCAACCAAUACACCAUGCGCUACUGACAAGCUCUAUGUGUUGUCGAAGGGGAAGCAGAAGUUUCUUGAGGCACACGGUUUACAGCAAUGGUGGUCUGACGACUUGGAAUUGCAAAUGGCGCUCAACAAUAGUAAGCUGAUCAGCAAGCAGCUCAAGUCCUUGUAUACCCUCCCGCCCACAGAACAAUCACCGAGCAAGGGUUGAUGAUGACCACAAAUCUGGAGCUAUUGUUGUUUUCUUUUCAGUUUCUUGAAGUUGCAAGGGACAGUAAACCAAAUAACAAAACCAUGUUUUUGGUGUUGGAAGCAAAACAGUGGAGCUGUGAUGAAACCCAUCCAUACUCCCCACAAGAACAGCAGCCACAAGCAGAGGAAUAAAAGGCAGAAUACUUCAGACUCUGUUUUAUUUUUUUCUUUUCCUUCAGUUAGCUAAGUCGUGUUUUACAGUAGCACUUUCAUCUAUCCGUUAAGUAUAUUGACAACUAAGUGGUUGUUAUUGUUAGUUGGGUCUUCUUGUAUAUAAGAGGCAUUUUUCCUUCCUUGAAUAUACAUAUACAGAACUUCUCUUCUGUAA
This is an RNA transcript of Sesamum indicum (sesame), 1649 nucleotides long. It is a transcript of the gene named GDSL esterase/lipase At4g10955-like, with no coding region annotated. Lineage: Eukaryota; Viridiplantae; Streptophyta; Magnoliopsida; Lamiales; Pedaliaceae. The record is from RefSeq and is a predicted model, not a curated record.